UUCGGGUAUAGUGGCGCACGGGUGCGUAACACGUGGGGAUCUGCCCUUUGCUUCGGAAUAACAGUUAGAAAUGACUGCUAAUACCGGAUAAUGUCGCAAGACCAAAGAUUUAUCGGCAAAGGAUGAACCCGCGUAGGAUUAGCUAGUUGGUGGGGUAAAGGCUCACCAAGGCGACGAUCCUUAGCUGGUCUGAGAGGAUGAUCAGCCACACUGGGACUGAGACACGGCCCAGACUCCUACGGGAGGCAGCAGUGGGGAAUAUUGGACAAUGGGCGAAAGCCUGAUCCAGCAAUGCCGCGUGAGUGAUGAAGGCCUUCGGGUUGUAAAGCUCUUUUACCAGGGAUGAUAAUGACAGUACCUGGAGAAUAAGCUCCGGCUAACUCCGUGCCAGCAGCCGCGGUAAUACGGAGGGAGCUAGCGUUGUUCGGAAUUACUGGGCGUAAAGCGUGCGUAGGCGGUUACUCAAGUCAGAGGUGAAAGCCCGGGGCU
RNAcentral lists this ribosomal RNA (489 nucleotides) under uncultured bacterium. Its description in RNAcentral is "bacterial SSU rRNA". It matches the Rfam family "Bacterial small subunit ribosomal RNA", at positions 85 to 609 of the family's 1533-position model. The record is from RNAcentral.